UCACGCAUGCUACAAUGGCCGGUACAAAGGGCUGCGAUACCGUAAGGUGGAGCGAAUCCCAAAAAGCCGGUCUCAGUUCGGAUUGGGGUCUGCAACUCGACCCCAUGAAGUCGGAGUCGCUAGUAAUCGCAGAUCAGCAACGCUGCGGUGAAUACGUUCCCGGGCCUUGUACACUCCUCCCUUCAAGUCACGAAAGUCGGUAACACCCGAAGCCCAUGGCCCAACC
Molecule: ribosomal RNA, 226 nt
Filed under: Cellulosimicrobium cellulans
Lineage: Bacteria; Bacillati; Actinomycetota; Actinomycetes; Micrococcales; Promicromonosporaceae
Description: partial 16S ribosomal RNA
Rfam family: Bacterial small subunit ribosomal RNA
Source: RNAcentral